CCUACGGGAGGCAGCAGUGAGGAAUAUUGGUCAAUGGACGAGAGUCUGAACCAGCCAAGUAGCGUGAAGGAUGAAUGCCCUAUGGGUUGUAAACUUCUUUUAUAUGGGAAUAAAAUGUUCCACGUGUGGGAUUUUGUAUGUACCAUAUGAAUAAGGAUCGUCUAACUCCGUGCCAGCAGCCGCGGUAAUACGGAGGAUCCGAGCGUUAUCCGGAUUUAUUGGGUUUAAAGGGCGCGUAGGUGGAUUGUUAAGUCAGUUGUGAAAGUUUGCGGCUCAACCGUAAAAUUGCAGUUGAAACUGGCAGUCUUGAGUACAGUAGAGGUGGGCGGAAUUCGUGGUGUAGCGGUGAAAUGCUUAGAUAUCACGAAGAACUCCGAUUGCGAAGGCAGUUCACUGGACUGCAACUGACACUGAGGCUCGAAAGUGUGGGUAUCAAACAGGAUUAGAUACCCGGGUAGUC
Molecule: ribosomal RNA, 460 nt
Filed under: uncultured bacterium
Lineage: Bacteria
Description: partial 16S ribosomal RNA
Rfam family: Bacterial small subunit ribosomal RNA
Source: RNAcentral